AGCUCCAAUAGCGUAUAUUAAUGUUGUUGUGGUUAAAAAGCUCUUAGUUGAAUCUCUUCCUCUUUCUUUCUUUUUUCUUUCUCUUCUUCCUUCCCUAUAAUCUGUAGUUUUGCCAGAGGUUUUAGGGUGCUCUUAAUCGAGUGUCCUGGGAUGCUGGCAGGUUUACUUUGAAAAAAUUAGAGUGCUCAAAGCAGGCUGUUACGCCUGAAUAUUCGUGCAUGGAAUAAUAGAAUAGGAAGUCGUUUCUAUUUUGUUGGUUUUCGGAAAUCGACUUAAUGAUUAAUAGGGACAGUCGGGGGCAUUUGUAUUCAAACGACAGAGGUGAAAUUCUUGGACCGUUUGAAGACAAACUACUGCGAAAGCAUUUGCCAAGAAUGUUUUCA
RNAcentral lists this ribosomal RNA (383 nucleotides) under marine copepod environmental sample. RNAcentral's name for it is "SSU rRNA". It matches the Rfam family "Eukaryotic small subunit ribosomal RNA", at positions 587 to 972 of the family's 1831-position model. The record is from RNAcentral. Lineage: Eukaryota; Metazoa; Arthropoda; Copepoda.